Molecule: transfer RNA, 76 nt
Filed under: Kocuria rhizophila
Lineage: Bacteria; Bacillati; Actinomycetota; Actinomycetes; Micrococcales; Micrococcaceae
Description: tRNA-Ile
Rfam family: tRNA
About the family: Transfer RNA (tRNA) molecules are approximately 80 nucleotides in length. Their secondary structure includes four short double-helical elements and three loops (D, anti-codon, and T loops).
Source: RNAcentral
UGGGCGGUAGCUCAGCUGGUCAGAGCAGAGGACUGAUAAUCCUUGGGUCGCGGGUUCAAGCCCCCACCCGCCCUAC